RNAcentral lists this ribosomal RNA (253 nucleotides) under uncultured bacterium. RNAcentral's name for it is "partial 16S ribosomal RNA". It matches the Rfam family "Bacterial small subunit ribosomal RNA", at positions 524 to 776 of the family's 1533-position model. The record is from RNAcentral.
UACGGAGGGUGCAAGCGUUAUCCGGAUUUACUGGGUUUAAAGGGUGUGUAAGCGGGCUUUUAAGUCAGUGGUGAAAUCUCCGGGCUCAACCCGGAAACUGCCAUUGAUACUAUUAGUCUUGAAUUUUGUUGAGGUAGGCGGAAUAAGUCAUGUAGCGGUGAAAUGCUUAGAUAUGACUUAGAACACCAAUUGCGAAGGCAGCUUGCUAAACAAACAUUGACGCUGAGGCACGAAAGCGUGGGGAUCAAACAGG